UUUAAAGAGAGUUUGAUCCUGGCUCAGGACGAACGCUGGCGGCGUGCCUAAUACAUGCAAGUCGAACGAACCGACGAAAAGCUUGCUUUUCUGACGUGAGUGGCGGACGGGUGAGUAACACGUGGGCAACCUGCCUAUCAGUUGGGGAUAACUCCGGGAAACCGGGGCUAAUACCGAAUAAUAACGAGCGUCGCAUGACGCUGGUUUGAAAGAUGGUUUCGGCUAUCGCUGAUAGAUGGGCCCGCGGUGCAUUAGCUAGUUGGUGGGGUAAUGGCUCACCAAGGCAACGAUGCAUAGCCGACCUGAGAGGGUGAUCGGCCACACUGGGACUGAGACACGGCCCAGACUCCUACGGGAGGCAGCAGUAGGGAAUCUUCCGCAAUGGACGAAAGUCUGACGGAGCAACGCCGCGUGUGUGAAGAAGGUUUUCGGAUCGUAAAGCACUGUUGUUAGAGAAGAACAAGGAUAAGAGUAACUGCUUGUCCCUUGACGGUAUCUAACCAGAAAGCCACGGCUAACUACGUGCCAGCAGCCGCGG
RNAcentral lists this ribosomal RNA (538 nucleotides) under Listeria booriae. RNAcentral describes it as "bacterial SSU rRNA". It matches the Rfam family "Bacterial small subunit ribosomal RNA", at positions 1 to 520 of the family's 1533-position model. The record is from RNAcentral. Lineage: Bacteria; Bacillati; Bacillota; Bacilli; Caryophanales; Listeriaceae.